AGUGAACGCUGGCGGUAGGCCUAACACAUGCAAGUCGAACGGCAGCACAGUAAGAGCUUGCUCUUACGGGUGGCGAGUGGCGGACGGGUGAGGAAGACAUCGGAAUCUACUUUUUCGUGGGGGCUAACGUAGGGAAACUUACGCUAAUACCGCAUACGACCUACGGGUGAAAGCAGGGGAUCUUCGGACCUUGCGCGAUUGAAUGAGCCGAUGUCGGAUUAGCUAGUUGGCGGGGUAAAGGCCCACCAAGGCGACGAUCCGUAGCUGGCCUGAGAGGAUGAUCAGCCACACUGGAACUGAGACACGGUCCAGACUCCUACGGGAGGCAGCAGUGGGGAAUAUUGGACAAUGGGCGCAAGCCUGAUCCAGCCAUACCGCGUGGGUGAAGAAGGCCUUCGGGUUGUAAAGCCCUUUUGUUGGGAAAGAAAAGCAGCAGGUUAAUACCCCGCUGUUCUGACGGUACCCAAAGAAUAAGCACCGGCUAACUUCGUG
This 492-nucleotide ribosomal RNA is filed under the name uncultured bacterium. Its description in RNAcentral is "partial 16S ribosomal RNA". It matches the Rfam family "Bacterial small subunit ribosomal RNA", at positions 29 to 507 of the family's 1533-position model. The record is from RNAcentral.